CACCACCACCACCACCACCACCACCACCACCAUCACCAUCAUCGUCAGAGUGUGGAUCUCUCUUUAGGACAGGGACAUAUGUGGGCUCCUAGCCAAGAGAACUUGGAUUCCUUCUGCAGGAGAAAACUGGCUGCUUCACAGCUGUUGCCUCCUGCUCUGGAGAAGGCUGAGGGUCGAGCUGGCUGCAGGGAUUCAUCUCCCAGGAGGGACAAGAGCCCCAGCUAUAUCCCACCCCGUGAGGAUGGCAACGGGGUCAACUGUGCCCUUUGCUGGCCAUCGCAGGCAGUGGGGGCAGAGCAAAGCCUGGAACAGCGGGGACUGGAAGAAACAAACUUGGAACUUCCACACUGGUGUCAUUUAAGUAACAACCACGUUGCUCAGGAGCUCCGAGGCCUCUCUUAUCUCCCUGGGGUCCAUCCUUGGCUGUACCCAAGUGUAUGAGCACAGCAAGCUCACCACUCACUCACCACAGCACCCACCUGAAGCCUAGCAGACUGCUUCAGCCUGGUCCCCACAGGGCAGGAUGCAUAACCACGCCCCUGAUGGCAUCCCUCCAAACAGCACCAGCUACCUGGCAGGUCCCACCUCUUGGUGCCACUACCAGAGCCUGGACUUGAUUGAUCUCCGUAUGAAUAUUCAUGCAGCAUCCAGCAGUCUGUCAUCAAUAUUCCAGGAAAGGGAAAACUCCUCAUGUAAGGAGUUGGGGGAGGUCAACCUGUAGCUUGUGACUACUGCAUCUACCUAUGGGCUUCCAAGCUUGACAAGAUGUCCACUCUGUCCCCACUCCCACCCCCAUCCCAUUCUCUGACAGAUGACCCCUCAACGUUCCUGCCUACCUUACAGGCCAUGCCCUCCUCACCAAUCCUGUUCUCUCCUUCAGCUUUGGGCCUGCCUCACCCCACCCUGCCCGAAAUAUUUACCUACAGCCACGGUCCCAUCGUAACAAGAUACCAAGGGCUGUGUACCAACUCAGCAAGCUUGUUUACAGGCCCCACGUUCUCAAGUAGCUCACACAGCCUGCCCCUGGUCAGUGGUUUCCACAGACUCCCCUGUCCUGCCCAGGGUCCACAGUUAGAUACACCCCAAGCCUGGAGUAACAUCAACUCUAAGCCAGACCUCCAAGGAAGAGGGUAUCUGCUUCAUUCCCUGCUGUCCCUGUUGCUGUAGGAGCCCCCCAGGCCCCAGGCCCCAGAGGUCGUGGGCUGGCUCAGGGUGGGAUGCAGCUUAGUUAUAACCCGUCCUGGGAGAUGGUCACAGCUGGCCCCACCAGAGAGAGAUGAGAACUCUGCCUCAGACCUUGGCUUCUGGAAGAAUGGUUGUAUCUGGGGGAGUCAGCUGUUUUGGGAUGAGAUUUCCUAGGGCUGACACAGUACCAGAGUCCUCAAAACACAGCUCAGCAGCACCACACUCGGUGCUUCCCCACUGAGUCCACCGGCACCCUCCUAUGGCUGCUCUUCCGCAGGAGACUACCCAAGCAGUGCAGGGGUGGGGAUGGGGUGGAGUAGCGGGCCUGGCAGGGAAGGGUCACCUGGCAGCCUGUGCCCUUCAGUCUGCCACCCCACCCCCAGGCGCAGUGCGGGCCACACAACUCUGCCUGAGGCCCCAUGUGACACAGCUGCCAACAGGCCUGGGCAAGCAGCCUGGCGGGGUGGGGGAGGGGCACUGGGCUCCAGAUCGCUGAAUCAGCUGCUCUGGACCGUCCCUCCCUGGGCUAGGCUGCUGCCUGGGGGGCAGCUCCCUCUUUUGGGAACUGUUGGGGAGGCAAGCCUGAAUGCUGGGAUUUCCGGAAAAUCUCCCUUGCUUGCUUCAGCCUGGGACUGCUGCUUCCUGGGAGCCAGUGUCUCUAGGGGAGGGAAGGCUUCCUAAGAGGGCCAGGCAGAAGGGGACCCUUCUUUCUAAACAAGACCAAAAACGGAGAAGAGAAAGGCACCCUGCUGCUGUGAAUCUAGCACUCCCCCCCCCCCCCGAAAACGCUGAAUCAGCAUGUGAAGGCGCCGGCUCCCUCCCCUCCCCCUCACACGCUGGCAGGGACUGGGCCUUCCCAAGGUCAGGGGACAUCAAUAACCGCAGCUGAGUCUGUGGCUGCACAGGUCUGUGCUCUGGGUUGCCCCUGCCAUCCUCGGGAGUAGGGACCAUCUGGCUCUCUUCCUCACACUACCCUGGGAAGGUCACAGGUACUAUGUUUGUUUGGGUCUUCACCAGGGACUGCAGAAGCUGCUACUUGGUACAGGGGCAGCAAAUGGGUGUUCAGAGCCAUGAGUUCAUCCCAAGCCUGGGGCCCUGCAGCACCUGCCCUUUUCCCCAGGGUUGUAGGUAGCAGUGACCCGGUCCCUGUACCUCACAUGGGCCAGGGAGAACCUGAGUCAUGGCCAGACAGCACUGCUUCAGACUUUCCGUCUGUGCUGCCCACACCUGGCGGCCUGCUCACCUCCACUCCUUCCUUCCUGGUCCUAGCUCCUAACCAUCUUGCCUAGGGAGUAGUGCCAAGUCUUCAUGGGCACAGUCCCCUCUCUUCAGAUGCCCCUUUCUUGUGGUGAUGGUGAGGUGUAGGCCCUUCCUCCAGGAAGACCCAGAACCCAGCUCUGGUCUCUCAAGUUAACAUGUAGCCCCUGACACUGCACCCUAAGCACUCUACUGGGUCCCCUGAGCCAGCUCUGCAAACCUCAGAACAGUGCCAGCCGGCGGCCAGAUUCCUGGUCCUCCUUCCUGCCUCCCUCCCACCCACUGGGUCACAGGCAGCCCCCUGACUACUCUUCUUCGAAGUCAGUUCACAAGGCUAGCCUGAAAGCUGUCUGUUGCCUUUUCUACCUCAUGAACGUCAGGGGCCUAGGGCUCAGCAGCUGACCAGAUGGGCGGCUUUAUCACUGUGGAUCCUGUUUCGUAUCCAGCCACCGAGGCCUUCUGUCCACAGGUACAUCCUGUCUGUGCCAGGUCUGGUCCCCUGCCCUGCCCUUCAGCGGUGAGCUCAGUCCCAUUUUUAUACUCCUAUGUGCUGCCUUAAUAAACAAACAAAAAUGCUUGAAA
This 3024-nucleotide small RNA is filed under the name Rattus norvegicus (Norway rat). RNAcentral describes it as "uncharacterized LOC103691752". Lineage: Eukaryota; Metazoa; Chordata; Mammalia; Rodentia; Muridae. The record is from RNAcentral.